GCGUCGAUGGCGGAGUGGUCAAUCGCGACGGACUGUAAAUCCGUUGACUUAUGUCUACGUUGGUUCGAAUCCAACUCGGCGCA
This 83-nucleotide transfer RNA is filed under the name Candidatus Kaiserbacteria bacterium. RNAcentral's name for it is "tRNA-Tyr". It matches the Rfam family "tRNA". Rfam says of the family: Transfer RNA (tRNA) molecules are approximately 80 nucleotides in length. Their secondary structure includes four short double-helical elements and three loops (D, anti-codon, and T loops). RNAcentral also lists the same sequence under 1 other name. The record is from RNAcentral. Lineage: Bacteria; Candidatus Kaiseribacteriota.